This 730-nucleotide ribosomal RNA is filed under the name uncultured Lachnospiraceae bacterium. Its description in RNAcentral is "bacterial SSU rRNA". It matches the Rfam family "Bacterial small subunit ribosomal RNA", at positions 28 to 769 of the family's 1533-position model. The record is from RNAcentral. Lineage: Bacteria; Bacillati; Bacillota; Clostridia; Lachnospirales; Lachnospiraceae.
GACGAACGCUGGCGGCGUGCCUAACACAUGCAAGUCGAACGGAGUUGAAAGGAGCUUGCUUUUUUCAACUCAGUGGCGGACGGGUGAGUAACGCGUGAGUAACCUGCCUUUCAGAGGGGGAUAACGUUCUGAAAAGAACGCUAAUACCGCAUAAGAUUGUAGUUUCGCAUGGGACAGCAAUCAAAGGAGCAAUCCGCUGAAAGAUGGACUCGCGUCCGAUUAGAUAGUUGGCGGGGUAACGGCCCACCAAGUCGACGAUCGGUAGCCGGACUGAGAGGUUGAUCGGCCACAUUGGGACUGAGACACGGCCCAGACUCCUACGGGAGGCAGCAGUGAGGGAUAUUGGGCAAUGGGGGAAACCCUGACCCAGCAACGCCGCGUGAGGGAUGACGGUUUUCGGAUUGUAAACCUCUGUCCUCUGUGAAGAUAGUGACGGUAGCAGAGGAGGAAGCUCCGGCUAACUACGUGCCAGCAGCCGCGGUAAUACGUAGGGAGCAAGCGUUGUCCGGAUUUACUGGGUGUAAAGGGUGCGUAGGCGGAUUGGCAAGUUGGGAGUGAAAUCUAUGGGCUCAACCCAUAAAUUGCUUUCAAAACUGUCAGUCUUGAGUGGUGUAGAGGUAGGCGGAAUUCCCGGUGUAGCGGUGGAAUGCGUAGAUAUCGGGAGGAACACCAGUGGCGAAGGCGGCCUACUGGGCACUAACUGACGCUGAGGCUCGAAAGCAUGGGUAGC